This 575-nucleotide ribosomal RNA is filed under the name uncultured bacterium. Its description in RNAcentral is "partial 16S ribosomal RNA". It matches the Rfam family "Bacterial small subunit ribosomal RNA", at positions 355 to 919 of the family's 1533-position model. The record is from RNAcentral.
UGGGGAAUUUUGGACAAUGGGCGCAAGCCUGAUCCAGCCAUGCCGCGUGCGGGAAGAAGGCCUUCGGGUUGUAAACCGCUUUUGUCAGGGAAGAAAUCUUCUGAGUUAAUACCUCGGGAGGAUGACGGUACCUGAAGAAUAAGCACCGGCUAACUACGUGCCAGCAGCCGCGGUAAUACGUAGGGUGCAAGCGUUAAUCGGAAUUACUGGGCGUAAAGCGUGCGCAGGCGGUUUUGUAAGACAGAGGUGAAAUCCCCGGGCUCAACCUGGGAACUGCCUUUGUGACUGCAAGGCUUGAGUGCGGCAGAGGGGGGAUGGAAUUCCGCGUGUAGCAGUGAAAUGCGUAGAUAUGCGGAGGAACACCGAUGGCGAAGGCAAUCCCCUGGGCCUGCACUGACGCUCAUGCACGAAAGCGUGGGGAGCAAACAGGAUUAGAUACCCCUGGUAGUCCACGCCCUAAACGAUGUCAACUGGUUGUUGGGAAGGUUCCUUCUCAGUAACGUAGCUAACGCGUGAAAGUUUGACCGCCUGGGGAGUACGGCCGCAAGGUUGAAACUCAAAUGAAUUGACGGGGU